This 45-nucleotide non-coding RNA is filed under the name Schistosoma mansoni. Lineage: Eukaryota; Metazoa; Platyhelminthes; Trematoda; Strigeidida; Schistosomatidae. The record is from RNAcentral.
AUCCAACUGACGAGUCUCAAAUGGGACGAAACACGCGUCCUGGAU